GUUGUGUUAUUUUGGGGGGCUGGGACACAGGUGCUGCAUGGCUGUUGUCAGCUCGUGUCGUGAGAUGUUGGGUUAAGUCCCGCAACGAGCGCAACCCUCGCCCUUAGUUGCCAGCAUUCAGUUGGGCACUCUAAGGGGACUGCCGGUGAUAAGCCGAGAGGAAGGUGGGGAUGACGUCAAGUCCUCAUGGCCCUUACGGGCUGGGCUACACACGUGCUACAAUGGUGGUGACAGUGGGCAGCGAGCCCGCGAGGUCGAGCUAAUCUCCAAAAGCCAUCUCAGUUCGGAUUGCACUCUGCAACUCGAGUGCAUGAAGUUGGAAUCGCUAGUAAU
Molecule: ribosomal RNA, 333 nt
Filed under: uncultured Rhizobium sp.
Lineage: Bacteria; Pseudomonadati; Pseudomonadota; Alphaproteobacteria; Hyphomicrobiales; Rhizobiaceae
Description: bacterial SSU rRNA
Rfam family: Bacterial small subunit ribosomal RNA
Source: RNAcentral